RNAcentral lists this ribosomal RNA (486 nucleotides) under uncultured bacterium. Its description in RNAcentral is "partial 16S ribosomal RNA". It matches the Rfam family "Bacterial small subunit ribosomal RNA", at positions 30 to 507 of the family's 1533-position model. The record is from RNAcentral.
AUUGAACGCUGGCGGCAUGCCUUACACAUGCAAGUCGAACGGCAGCACGGGUGCUUGCACCUGGUGGCGAGUGGCGAACGGGUGAGUAAUACAUCGGAACAUGUCCUGUAGUGGGGGAUAGCCCGGCGAAAGCCGGAUUAAUACCGCAUACGAUCUACGGAUGAAAGCGGGGGACCUUCGGGCCUCGCGCUAUAGGGUUGGCCGAUGGCUGACUAGCUAGUUGGUGGGGUAAAGGCCUACCAAGGCGACGAUCAGUAGCUGGUCUGAGAGGACGACCAGCCACACUGGGACUGAGACACGGCCCAGACUCCUACGGGAGGCAGCAGUGGGGAAUUUUGGACAAUGGGCGAAAGCCUGAUCCAGCAAUGCCGCGUGUGUGAAGAAGGCCUUCGGGUUGUAAAGCACUUUUGUCCGAAAAGAAAUCCUUGGCCCUAAUACGGUCGGGGGAUGACGGUACCGGAAGAAUAAGCACCGGCUAACUACGUG